UACGUAGGGACCAAGCGUUGUUCGGAUUUACUGGGCGUAAAGGGCGCGUAGGCGGCAAUUCAAGUCAUCUGUGAAAUCUCCGGGCUUAACCCGGAACGGUCAGGUGAUACUGUUUUGCUAGAGUGCGGAAGGGGCAAUCGGAAUUCUCGGUGUAGCGGUGAAAUGCGUAGGUAUCGAGAGGAACACCAGAGGUGAAGACGGGUUGCUGGGCCGACACUGACGCUGACAGCGCGAAAGCCAGGGGAGCAAACGGG
This 254-nucleotide ribosomal RNA is filed under the name uncultured bacterium. RNAcentral describes it as "partial 16S ribosomal RNA". It matches the Rfam family "Bacterial small subunit ribosomal RNA", at positions 524 to 776 of the family's 1533-position model. The record is from RNAcentral.